GAGUUUGAUCAUGGCUCAGAGCGAACGCUGGCGGCAGGCCUAACACAUGCAAGUCGAACGGACCCUUCGGGGUUAGUGGCGGACGGGUGAGUAACACGUGGGAACGUGCCUUUAGGUUCGGAAUAGCUCCCGGAAACGGGUGGUAAUGCCGAAUGUGCCCUUCGGGGAAAGGAUUAUCGCCUUUAGAGCGGCCCGCGUCUGAUUAGCUAGUUGGUGAGGUAACGGCUCACCAAGGCGACGAUCAGUAGCUGGUCUGAGAGGAUGACCAGCCACACUGGGACUGAGACACGGCCCACGACUCCUACGGGAGGCAGCAGUGGGGAAUCUUGCGCAAUGGGCGAAAGCCUGACGCAGCCAUGCCGCGUGAAUGAUGAAGGUCUUAGGAUUGUAAAAUUACUUUCACCGGGGACGAUAAUGACGGUACCCGGAGAAGAAGCCCCGGCUAACUUCGUGCCAGCCGCCGCCGUAAG
Molecule: ribosomal RNA, 470 nt
Filed under: uncultured microorganism
Description: bacterial SSU rRNA
Rfam family: Bacterial small subunit ribosomal RNA
Source: RNAcentral